Molecule: ribosomal RNA, 201 nt
Filed under: uncultured bacterium
Lineage: Bacteria
Description: partial 16S ribosomal RNA
Rfam family: Bacterial small subunit ribosomal RNA
Source: RNAcentral
GACAGAGGGUGCAAACGUUGUUCGGAAUUACUGGGCGUAAAGCGCGUGUAGGCUGCUCGAACAGUCGGGUGUGAAAGCCCUGGGCUCAACCCAGGAAGUGCAUUCGAUACUGCCGAGCUUGAGUCCUGGAGAGGAAGGCGGAAUUCUCGGUGUAGAGGUGAAAUUCGUAGAUAUCGAGAGGAACACCGGUGGCGAAGGCGG